Molecule: unclassified non-coding RNA, 345 nt
Filed under: soil metagenome
Description: partial contains 5.8S ribosomal RNA, internal transcribed spacer 2, and large subunit ribosomal RNA
Rfam family: 5.8S ribosomal RNA (bases 1-120)
Source: RNAcentral
GAUGAGGAACGCAGCGAAAUGCGAUACGUAAUGUGAAUUGCAGAAUUCAGUGAAUCAUCGAGUCUUUGAACGCACAUUGCGCCCCCUGGUAUUCCGGGGGGCAUGCCUGUCCGAGCGUCAUUGCUGCCCUCAAGCACGGCUUGUGUGUUGGGCCUCCGUCCUCCUCCCGGGGGACGGGCCCGAAAGGCAGCGGCGGCACCGCGUCCGGUCCUCGAGCGUAUGGGGCUUCGUCACCCGCUCUUGUAGGCCCGGCCGGCGCUUGCCGACACAUCAAUCUUUUUUCCAGGUUGACCUCGGAUCAGGUAGGGAUACCCGCUGAACUUAAGCAUAUCAAUAAGCGGAGGA